ACUCCUACGGGAGGCAGCAGUGGGGAAUAUUGCACAAUGGGGGAAACCCUGAUGCAGCCAUGCCGCGUGUGUGAAGAAGGCCUUCGGUUGUAAAGCACUUUCAGUAGGGAGGAAGGUAGUGUAGUUAACACCUGCAUUAUUUGACGUUACCUACAGAAGAAGCACCGGCUAACUCCGUGCCAGCAGCCGCGGUAAUACGGAGGGUGCGAGCGUUAAUCGGAAUUACUGGGCGUAAAGCGCAUGCAGGCGGCUUGUUAAGUCAGAUGUGAAAGCCCGGGGCUUAACCUCGGAAUUGCAUUUGAAACUGGCAGGCUAGAGUCUUGUAGAGGGGUUAGAAUUUCAGGUGUAGCGGUGAAAUGCGUAGAGAUCUGAAGGAAUACCAGUGGCGAAGGCGGCCCCUGGACAAAGACUGACGCUCAGAUGCGAAAGCGUGGGAGCAAACAGGAUUAGAUACCCCUGGUAGCGACUGA
Molecule: ribosomal RNA, 470 nt
Filed under: uncultured bacterium
Lineage: Bacteria
Description: bacterial SSU rRNA
Rfam family: Bacterial small subunit ribosomal RNA
Source: RNAcentral